This 231-nucleotide ribosomal RNA is filed under the name uncultured bacterium. RNAcentral describes it as "partial 16S ribosomal RNA". It matches the Rfam family "Bacterial small subunit ribosomal RNA", at positions 524 to 754 of the family's 1533-position model. The record is from RNAcentral.
UACGUAGGGUGCAAGCGUUAAUCGGAAUUACUGGGCGUAAAGCGUGCGCAGGCGGUUUGUCGCGUCGGGAGUGAAAUCCAUUGGCUUAACUGGUGGCUUGCUUUCGAUACGGGCAGACUGGAGGUAUGCAGGGGAGAACGGAAUUCCUGGUGUAGCGGUGAAAUGCGUAGAUAUCUGGAGGAACACCGGUGGCGAAGGCGACAUCCUGGACCGGUAUUGACGCUGAGGCGC